CUGAUCAGCAUGCCGCGUGAGUGAUGGAAGGCCUUAGGGUUGUAAAGCUCUUUUAGCGGGGGAAGAUAAUGACGGUACCCGGAGAAGAAGGUCCGGCUAACUCCAUGACAGCAGCCGUGGUAAUACGGAGGGGGCUAGGGUUGUUCGGAAUUACUGGGCGUAAAGCGGACGUAGUGGGUUUGAAGGGUCCGAGGUGAAAUCCCUGGGUUCAAGCUGAGAACUGCCUUUUAAACUGUGUAACUGGAAUUGAGAAGAGGUGACUGGAAUUCCGAGUGUAGAAGUGAAAUUCGUAGAGAUUCGGAGGAACGCCAAUGGCUAAGGCGGCUGACUGGAUGAGUAUUGACGCUGAUGUGCGAAAGCUUGGGGAGCAAACAGGAUUAGAUACCCUGGUAGUCCACUCCAUAAACUAUGAAUCCUAGCCGUC
Molecule: ribosomal RNA, 424 nt
Filed under: uncultured Alphaproteobacteria bacterium
Lineage: Bacteria; Pseudomonadati; Pseudomonadota; Alphaproteobacteria
Description: bacterial SSU rRNA
Rfam family: Bacterial small subunit ribosomal RNA
Source: RNAcentral